CCUGCGCAUUAAUUGCUUGCCCAGAAACAGAGAAUACGGUUUUCAUUUGAUUUGGUUCGAUGGCAGCCAAUUAUAGGACUAGUCUCCAUCAAAGGACCAUUCACCAACCAAAAUGUAUGAAAUGAUGUGCCCACGACCACUGCGGCUAAAGAUUGAUUACCAGGAAUGCAAAUGUUGGGGAGUGUCUUGAUUUGAAGAGAGAAGUACGGAAAACCAAUGACCAACACAUAAAAUAUUUCAUUGGAAGAUAAACAACCAUCAAGGAAAAUGAAUCCUUGUCUUCAUUUUCUUUCCAUCUUACAGAAUAAAUUAUGCAGAAACAACCCAACUUCUCAUGCACUCAUAGAAGCUCAACAUAGCUCUAUUUCAGGUUUUUCAACAGAUUGGUAUGACCCAAAUAUCAGCAGUCCCAUCUUUGGACACGUGUAUAUAUAUAUAUAUAUAUAUAUAUUACAUAUGAUAAGUAAAAAAAUUAGUUUNUGUAUAUAUAUAUAUAUAUAUAUAUAUUACAUAUGAUGAAAAAAAAUUGUUAAUUUUUUAAAGCCAUAAGGUACAAAUUGAUGUGCACAUAUUGGGUUAGAGUGUAACAUGAGGUUGGUAUACUCUUCUCCGAGCAG
Molecule: long non-coding RNA, 617 nt
Filed under: Theobroma cacao (cacao)
Lineage: Eukaryota; Viridiplantae; Streptophyta; Magnoliopsida; Malvales; Malvaceae
Description: long non-coding RNA (TCAC_LNC000792)
Source: RNAcentral